RNAcentral lists this long non-coding RNA (430 nucleotides) under Ananas comosus (pineapple). RNAcentral's name for it is "long non-coding RNA (ACOM_LNC007548)". The record is from RNAcentral. Lineage: Eukaryota; Viridiplantae; Streptophyta; Magnoliopsida; Poales; Bromeliaceae.
UAUAAUUAAGUUUAAAUUUAAACUUUGAAUCUAAAAUUAAAAACUUGAAGUUUGAGUUCAAAAUCAGAAUCAAAUUUCAAAAAGUAAGUUUUACGUGCUUCUGAUUUUGGGUCUCAAAAAGUAAAAAACUGAUUCUAAAAGUCAGAAUCAGAUUCUAAAACCGGAAUAACCAAACACUCUAUCGAGCUAAAAAUCACUUUUGAAUCCAAAAUCACUUUUUUUUUUGGACCGACUAUCCCUAGAGCAAGUGGCAAAGUGCUUGAUGAUUUGUACCCGAGGUUUCAAGUUCGAAUCCUAGUUGAUUUACAUUUUCAGCUAAGUUUAAUAAAAUAAACGAAGCGAGUAGCGUGCUGCUACCCAUCUCUCAAAAAAAAAAAAAAAUCCAAAAUCACUUUUCAAAGGGUAAGCCAAACACCAACUAAAUAAGACA